Molecule: non-coding RNA, 48 nt
Filed under: Drosophila melanogaster (fruit fly)
Lineage: Eukaryota; Metazoa; Arthropoda; Insecta; Diptera; Drosophilidae
Description: K10 TLS RNA from Drosophila melanogaster (PDB 2KUW, chain A)
Rfam family: K10 transport/localisation element (TLS)
About the family: This family represents the 44 nucleotide K10 transport/localisation element (TLS) from Drosophila melanogaster. K10 TLS is responsible for the transport and anterior localisation of K10 mRNA and acts to establish dorsoventral polarity in the oocyte.
Source: RNAcentral
GGGGUUGGUGUAUUUUUAAAUUAAUUCUUAAAAACUACAAUCAGCUCC